AAGUCGUAACAAGGUUUCCGUAGGUGAACCUGCGGAAGGAUCAUUAAAAAAUGAGGUAUUUAUACCUCUUGUAUUUAAAACCCAACUCUUCAAAAAUAUAUAUAUUUUUUUAAAAAAAAAACUUUCAACAAUGGAUCUCUUGGCUCUC
This 148-nucleotide unclassified non-coding RNA is filed under the name Gigaspora sp. Its description in RNAcentral is "partial internal transcribed spacer region". The stretch from base 1 to 46 matches the Rfam family "Eukaryotic small subunit ribosomal RNA", at positions 1786 to 1831 of the family's 1831-position model. The record is from RNAcentral. Lineage: Eukaryota; Fungi; Glomeromycota; Glomeromycetes; Diversisporales; Gigasporaceae.